Molecule: ribosomal RNA, 497 nt
Filed under: uncultured bacterium
Lineage: Bacteria
Description: partial 16S ribosomal RNA
Rfam family: Bacterial small subunit ribosomal RNA
Source: RNAcentral
GAUGAACGCUGGCGGCGUGCCUAAUACAUGCCAGUCGAGCGAACAGACGAGGAGCUUGCUCCUCUGACGUUAGCGGCGGACGGGUGAGUAACACGUGGAUAACCUACCUAUAAGACUGGGAUAACUUCGGGAAACCGGAGCUAAUACCGGAUAAUAUAUUGAACCGCAUGGUUCAAUAGUGAAAGACGGUUUUGCUGUCACUUAUAGAUGGAUCCGCGCCGCAUUAGCUAGUUGGUAAGGUAACGGCUUACCAAGGCAACGAUGCGUAGCCGACCUGAGAGGGUGAUCGGCCACACUGGAACUGAGACACGGUCCAGACUCCUACGGGAGGCAGCAGUAGGGAAUCUUCGGCAAUGGGCGAAAGCCUGACGGAGCAACGCCGCGUGAGUGAUGAAGGUCUUCGGAUCGUAAAACUCUGUUAUUUGGGAAGAACAAAUGUGUAAGUAACUAUUCCCGUCUUGACGUUACCUAAUCAGAAAGCCACGGCUAACUACGUG